UACGGAGGGCGCAAGCGUUGUUCGGAAUCACUGGGCGUAAAGCGCGUGCAGGCGGCUUGGCAAGUCGGGUGUGAAAGCCCGGGGCCCAACCCCGGAACGGCAUCCGAAACUGCCUCGCUCGAGUCCCGGAGAGGGUGGCGGAAUUUCCGGUGUAGAGGUGAAAUUCGUAGAUAUCGGAAGGAACACCAGUGGCGAAGGCGGCCACCUGGGCGGUGACUGACGCUGAGACGCGAAAGCGUGGGGAGCAAACAGG
This 253-nucleotide ribosomal RNA is filed under the name uncultured bacterium. RNAcentral's name for it is "partial 16S ribosomal RNA". It matches the Rfam family "Bacterial small subunit ribosomal RNA", at positions 524 to 776 of the family's 1533-position model. The record is from RNAcentral.